This is a non-coding RNA of Pocillopora verrucosa, 266 nucleotides long. Lineage: Eukaryota; Metazoa; Cnidaria; Anthozoa; Scleractinia; Pocilloporidae. The record is from RefSeq and is a predicted model, not a curated record.
CAAAGAAACAAGUGUACUACACCGUGAGGAAUCGAGUCUCAGAGAUUUACAUUCCGAGGUUCAGAUCAACAACUGAGACACUGCGGAGACAGACUUGAAAAGCUCGACCAGGUUGAAGGUUUAAUCAAAGAAGCCAUUGAGAAUUGGAACAGCAUUCAGGGAGCAUACAGAGAUGCAUACCCAUACGAAGGACGUGCAUUACAUGGUGUAGAGGAAAUGUUCAAAAUGAUCAGAAUCGCUUUAGAAAUCUUUAGUAAGAUGGAGAA